RNAcentral lists this ribosomal RNA (501 nucleotides) under uncultured Glomeromycotina. RNAcentral's name for it is "partial small subunit ribosomal RNA". It matches the Rfam family "Eukaryotic small subunit ribosomal RNA", at positions 591 to 1092 of the family's 1831-position model. Lineage: Eukaryota; Fungi; Glomeromycota. The record is from RNAcentral.
CCAAUAGCGUAUAUUCAAGUUGUUGCAGUUAAAAAGCUCGUAGUUGAAUUUCGGGAUCAAUAUUUCGGUCAUGACGUUGGUAUGCACUGUUAUCAUUGAUUUCUCACCUUCUAAAGAACCGUAAUGACAUUAAUUUGGUGUUUCGGGGAAUUAGGACUGUUACCUUGAAAAAAUUAGAGUGUUUAAAGCAGGCUCACGCUUGAAUACAUUAGCAUGGAAUAAUGAAAUCGGACAUCCGAUUCUAUUUUGUUGGUUUCUAGGAUCGAUGUAAUGAUUAAUAGGGAUAGUUGGGGGCAUUAGUAUUCAAUUGUCAGAGGUGAAAUUCUUGGAUUUAUUGAAGACUAACUACUGCGAAAGCAUUUGCCAAGGAUGUUUUCAUUAAUCAAGAACGAAAGUUAGGGGAUCGAAGACGAUCAGAUACCGUCGUAGUCUUAACCAUAAACUAUGCCGACUAGGGAUCGGAUGAUGUUAAUUUUUUAAUGACUCAUUCGGCGCCUUACG